GAUGAACGCUGGCAGCAUGCUUAACACAUGCAAGUCUACUUGAACUUCGGUUUGGGUGGCGGACGGGUGAGUAACGCGUACAGAACUUGCCUCACAGUUAGGGCCAACAUUUGGAAACGAAUGCUAAUACCUGAUCUUAUCAUUUUCGGGCAUACUAAUAUUAUGAAAGCUAUAUGCGCUGUGAGAGAGCUUUGCGUCCCAUUAGCUAGUUGGAGAGGUAACGGUUCACCAAGGCGAUGAUGGGUAGCCGGCCUGGGAGUGUGAACGGCCACAAGGGGACUGAGACACGGCCCUUACGCCUACGGGAGGCAGGAGUGGGAAAUAGUGGACGAUGGACCAAAAGUCUGAUCCAGCAAUUCGGUGUGCACGAUGAAGUUUUUCGGAAUGUAAAGUGCUUUCAGUUGGGAAGAAAAAAAUGACGGUACCAACAGAAGAAGUGACGGCUAAAUACGUG
Molecule: ribosomal RNA, 454 nt
Filed under: uncultured bacterium
Lineage: Bacteria
Description: partial 16S ribosomal RNA
Rfam family: Bacterial small subunit ribosomal RNA
Source: RNAcentral